GCGCCCGUAGCUCAGCUGGAUAGAGCGUUGGCCUCCGGAGCCAAAGGUCAGAGGUUCGAGUCCUCUCGGGCGCA
This 74-nucleotide transfer RNA is filed under the name Marinithermus hydrothermalis DSM 14884. It matches the Rfam family "tRNA". Rfam says of the family: Transfer RNA (tRNA) molecules are approximately 80 nucleotides in length. Their secondary structure includes four short double-helical elements and three loops (D, anti-codon, and T loops). Lineage: Bacteria; Thermotogati; Deinococcota; Deinococci; Thermales; Thermaceae. The record is from Rfam by way of RNAcentral.